AGAGUUUGAUCCUGGCUCAGGACGAACGCUGGCGGCGUGCCUAAUACAUGCAAGUAGAACGCUGAAGAGAGGAGCUUGCUCUUCUUGGAUGAGUUGCGAACGGGUGAGUAACGCGUAGGUAACCUGCCUUGUAGCGGGGGAUAACUAUUGGAAACGAUAGCUAAUACCGCAUAACAAUGGAUGACACAUGUCAUUUAUUUGAAAGGGGCAAUUGCUCCACUACAAGAUGGACCUGCGUUGUAUUAGCUAGUAGGUGAGGUAAUGGCUCACCUAGGCGACGAUACAUAGCCGACCUGAGAGGGUGAUCGGCCACACUGGGACUGAGACACGGCCCAGACUCCUACGGGAGGCAGCAGUAGGGAAUCUUCGGCAAUGGGGGCAACCCUGACCGAGCAACGCCGCGUGAGUGAAGAAGGUUUUCGGAUCGUAAAGCUCUGUUGUAAGUCAAGAACGGGUGUGAGAGUGGAAAGUUCACACUGUGACGGUAGCUUACCAGAAAGGGACGGCUAACUACGUGCCAGCAGCCGCGGUAAUACGUAGGUCCCGAGCGUUGUCCGGAUUUAUUGGGCGUAAAGCGAGCGCAGGCGGUUUGAUAAGUCUGAAGUUAAAGGCUGUGGCUCAACCAUAGUUCGCUUUGGAAACUGUCAAACUUGAGUGCAGAAGGGGAGAGUGGAAUUCCAUGUGUAGCGGUGAAAUGCGUAGAUAUAUGGAGGAACACCGGUGGCGAAAGCGGCUCUCUGGUCUGUAACUGACGCUGAGGCUCGAAAGCGUGGGGAGCGAACAGGAUUAGAUACCCUGGUAGUCCACGCCGUAAACGAUGAGUGCUAGGUGUUGGAUCCUUUCCGGGAUUCAGUGCCGCAGCUAACGCAUUAAGCACUCCGCCUGGGGAGUACGACCGCAAGGUUGAAACUCAAAGGAAUUGACGGGGGCCCGCACAAGCGGUGGAGCAUGUGGUUUAAUUCGAAGCAACGCGAAGAACCUUACCAGGUCUUGACAUCCCGAUGCUAUUUCUAGAGAUAGAAAGUUACUUCGGUACAUCGGUGACAGGUGGUGCAUGGUUGUCGUCAGCUCGUGUCGUGAGAUGUUGGGUUAAGUCCCGCAACGAGCGCAACCCUUAUUGUUAGUUGCCAUCAUUCAGUUGGGCACUCUAGCGAGACUGCCGGUAAUAAACCGGAGGAAGGUGGGGAUGACGUCAAAUCAUCAUGCCCCUUAUGACCUGGGCUACACACGUGCUACAAUGGUUGGUACAACGAGUUGCGAGUCGGUGACGGCGAGCUAAUCUCUUAAAGCCAAUCUCAGUUCGGAUUGUAGGCUGCAACUCGCCUACAUGAAGUCGGAAUCGCUAGUAAUCGCGGAUCAGCACGCCGCGGUGAAUACGUUCCCGGGCCUUGUACACACCGCCCGUCACACCACGAGAGCUUGUAACACCCGAAGUCGGUGAGGUAACCUUUUGGAGCCAGCCGCCUAAGGUGGGACAGAUGAUUGGGGUGAAGUCGUAACAAGGUA
RNAcentral lists this ribosomal RNA (1506 nucleotides) under metagenome. RNAcentral describes it as "bacterial SSU rRNA". It matches the Rfam family "Bacterial small subunit ribosomal RNA". The record is from RNAcentral.